AAUGGGCUUCAUAUUAUGUCUAUUAUGAUUCUGAAUAUCCCAAUUGAAACUGUAUAAUUAGAUUGUGGAAAUGUGAUUAGCACUAGAUAGAAGUAAAUUUUGAAAGUAUGAACCUAUGUGAAUAUGAAACUAAAGAAUAAUGUAUUUGUUGAUUUUAUUAAGAAGAAACAAUUAUAUUUGAUGUGUUAAAUCAAAGUUUAAUGGUAAGGUUUAGUAAUUUAGGAAACU
This 228-nucleotide unclassified non-coding RNA is filed under the name Hevea brasiliensis (rubber tree). The record is from RNAcentral. Lineage: Eukaryota; Viridiplantae; Streptophyta; Magnoliopsida; Malpighiales; Euphorbiaceae.